Molecule: ribosomal RNA, 492 nt
Filed under: uncultured Pseudomonadota bacterium
Lineage: Bacteria; Pseudomonadati; Pseudomonadota
Description: bacterial SSU rRNA
Rfam family: Bacterial small subunit ribosomal RNA
Source: RNAcentral
UGGGGAAUAUUGGACAAUGGGCGCAAGCCUGAUCCAGCCAUGCCGCGUGAGUGAUGAAGGCCUUAGGGUUGUAAAGCUCUUUCACCGGGGACGAUGAUGACGGUACCCGGAGAAGAAGCCCCGGCUAACUUCGUGCCAGCAGCCGCGGUAAUACGAAGGGGGCAAGCGUUGUUCGGAAUUACUGGGCGUAAAGGGCGCGUAGGCGGUCCGUUGCGUCAGGUGUGAAAUCCCCGGGCUCAACCUGGGAACUGCACUUGAUACGGGCGGGCUGGAAUCCGUGAGAGGUUGGUGGAAUUCCCAGUGUAGAGGUGAAAUUCGUAGAUAUUGGGAAGAACACCGGUGGCGAAGGCGGCCAACUGGGCACGGUAGUUGACGCUGAGGCGCGAAAGCGUGGGGGAGCAAACAGGAUUAGAUACCCUGGUAGUCCACGCCGUAAACGAUGUGCGCUAGCCGUCGGGCAGCAUGCUGUUCGUGGCGCAGCUAACGCAUUAA